CGGUGACUGGGAUGCUCCCGGCGGCGCCUGGCGGCCUCACGGGAUGCGCGGGGAUGAGCGGCGGGGUGGCGGCUGCCGGCCGAGCCCCUGCUGCCUUGCCCGCUGUCCGCAGUAGCCCGGACACAGGUGCUCAGCUCCGUCUGCAGGGGCUGCUCAGGGGCACUCGCGUCUGGUGACAGCAGCAGCGACAGUGUGAAUCCUCGGUUCGGCCCGGUUUGGGGAGUGUUUGCUUACUGGUGGCUAACUGGAUUUCCGGGGCUCCGGGUUUCCGCAGCAGGCUGGCGAGGCUCAGUGCUGGGCACCAGCAAUGUAAAGGGAAUCGUAGGGGCACAGGACGCUCCGCAGCUCCCGGUGCUGCGGUGGCCCGGUGGUGUCACACAAACGGUGCGAGGCUGUGUUCUAGUGUCUUUGGUUCCCUAUAAUGUCAAAAGAGGAGGGGAAAAAACACAAAAACGCAUCUCCUCAAAACCAGCUAUGUGAACAUGUUUCUGUUCUCAGCUGGAAGUCUGUAACGCGUCUGAAGUAGCAUCAAAGCAAAAGAGAACAGAACACGGGCCUGGUGACAGACACCUGUGACUUUUGGCUGCUAUGGCUCCAUGUAGCUGUGCUUCUGGCUUUCUCCGAACGACGUGCAGCAGGUUCCCCCUCCUGGCAGCACGGCUUCCAGGACAUCGAGCCGUCUGCUCCAGGUUCUAAUCGUUCCCAGAGGCUUUCGAUUCAAUUACUUACUAACAGCAAGAAAGACCUAUUCCUGUGACCAAGGAUAUUGGAAUCAACAUCCGCAAUCACCCCCAUUUCUGGCUUAUGGUGAUUAAAAAAGAAGAAGAUUGAUUGGAAGACAUUCCCGAAGAAUGUGUAAUGAAGUAUGUUGACAAGAAAGUAGCAAAAGUGUCAGAUGAUAGGGAUUCUAAUAGCAUAACAAUUACAAAUAAUUUAAGCAAUCUUAGGCUAGUUAACAUUUUUAAAUUGAAGAUGCAGAACCUGGGAACAAGAACUACCUUCUUCUCUGAGAUUAUUUUUCUGCAGGGGGAGGAGACUACUAAACAACAGUAAGAGAAUUAGGACUCUCAGUGUGUCUACUGGGCAUUCUCAGGUGUGUAAUAAAACUGACAAACAUUUAUGCUAAACCAAAAUAAAGACUUCAAAUAUAGCCCAGUAAACUCAAGUUGAACCAUUACCAGAACACUAUAUUUCAAAAUUAAAUAUUGAUAUAACCAGGAGAUUUGUUUAAAUGCAACCGAAGCAUGAAAACCACUGAAUGUUUAACUGAAAUGUCACAAGGGAAAAAAACCUGCCCAGUGUUCAAGAUUACAUGUAUUUCUUAAAUGAACCUAGGAUGACAACUCCAUGUCUUUAACAAGAGUGCUUUUUCAUUUCUUAGCACUUAUAACUUAGGAAGUACUCAAUGCAUUUUUAUGUAAAGUAUUCAUUUCUAGAUUCUGGUCUCUUGGUCAUAACAGCAAGAGUUAUCUUUCACAAUUUUGCCUUAAUUUAAUUUAAAUAGAAUGUUAAACCAUUAUUUAUUUGCAAAGGUAAUGGAAUAAAAAAGUCGUACUUUGGAAGAUUUAGUAAGAAAUGUCCCUCUUCACCCUUUGCAACUAGUCGCCUUUUUCUUCACACCAAUCCUUGUUUUCCUGACUUUCCACUGCACUUGUUGUUGCUUCUUGUUUAAUGUAGUCUCUUCUGUUGAGCACUUCAGACCAUGCUACUGUUUAGUUUAACCUGAAAGAAGACAUUAAAUUAUAUUUUUAGAAAUCAAGUGUCAGGUAUUGGCUUUACCUUUUCACAGUUGUCUCUGCUGGGACAUUACUGAGCUGAGAGGAGAAGCAGAAAUGGAUCUGUCUGUUACUGAUGAUUUUGUUUCCAACAGUUGUAAGAGGAUUCUUCCAUACCAUCAAGGCUCCCAUUUGCUUUCAUUGGUGAUUGUUCAGAUAUUUAGAGGAGUAUCAUUGUAGUUGAUGAGGACUCACCUACCUCGUUAGUACAGUCCCAUUUCUCCACUGUGGCAGUCCAACACCAUCAGCUCAGACACUGCUGAAAUUGUAACUAACGCUUUCAUGUUUUCCUUGCAAAAAUUUAUACACCUGUCAGAGAAUUAGUGACAGUAAUAUACCUGGGAUCAGCUUGCUCUUAAUUUAAAAAGUUAUGGAUGCAAAGGGUUAUAUUUUGACCUUUUAUGCUCAGAUGUAUACACUUACUUCCACUAAUCCAUUUGAUGUCUCCUGGGAAAAAAACAAGGCACCUUAGUAUGUCUGCAAAAUAAGUCACACAUUUUAAAAUUAUAUGGAAGAAAAUAUUAAUGCAAUGCUUUACAUUUGUUUAGCAAGACUGAGACUUUGUUUAGAAUGGCUGAGACUCUCCAGAGGCAGUGAAAGUUUACUAAGGCUCACAACAUCACCAUUAAUUAGAUGAAGUUCAGUGAAGACUUUAGGUCAAAAAGAUUAGUAAUUUACUUGUAGGCACACAAGCAGCAGCAUAUGGGUAGAAAUGGAAUAUGUAACUCCAAAGCCAGCAUUUCCAGUUUUCUUGUUAGUCACUUUGUGUUUUCAGAUGAAAACAUAUGCUAAACUCCAUAGACAAUUUGAAGCCAGUUUGAAUAUCCAAAGAAGGCUGUGAUGAUGUUUCAAAUCGCUGAGAACCUCAUUACAGACACUAUGGAGAGAAUUUAUAAACAGAAAUUCUUUGUCAAUGAUUUUGACAACCAUAAUAAAUACUCUAUAGAAUCAGUA
This is a long non-coding RNA of Catharus ustulatus (Swainson's thrush), 2729 nucleotides long. RefSeq lists it as uncharacterized. The transcript has 2 exons. The record is from RefSeq and is a predicted model, not a curated record. NCBI's taxonomy places the organism in Eukaryota, Metazoa, Chordata, Aves, Passeriformes, Turdidae.